CACUUUUUCCACGCCCCAACGGGAUGAGUUCAUAUGAUCAGGUUUAACAACUACAUAGAGAAUUUCCGUAGCUGGCACUUUAAUGAGUCACAAUUUAUUUAGAGGUUUAUACAGUGAGAAGUGUAUCCGUUUGUCAAGCAAACAUAGAUGCUCCUUGAACGAAAGCUGAUAAAAUUACUUCUGUGAAUUCGGCACACCCUUUUGUUGCAGACAAAAACCGCGGACAAGAGACAACAAGCAACAAAAAUAAAAUGAGAUUUUUUUGAGGGUAUAACUCCCUGUAACUGGGCAGGAAAUCAGUAUGGACAAUCUGGUAGCAGCCGCAAUACCAGAAACCACCGCCGCCUUAAGGCACCUACUUUCCUUACGAUGCAUUCGUCUGCCAGCCAGGCUCUACGUCGAGCGAUGGAAACUAGAAACCCUGAAAAUGCUCCCGAACGAGAUAUCCUAUACGUAGUAGCAGAAAAUUUCUGCUCUCGCGGGAUAAGAGUAGGUCAACAGUGGCUACUUUAUCCUUGGAUUGAACUGAUGAUUUUGCGGUACAAAGCGAAAUUUCGACUUAACGGGA
This is a long non-coding RNA of Varroa destructor (honeybee mite), 568 nucleotides long. RefSeq lists it as uncharacterized. NCBI's taxonomy places the organism in Eukaryota, Metazoa, Arthropoda, Arachnida, Mesostigmata, Varroidae. The record is from RefSeq and is a predicted model, not a curated record.